GGCACCUACGGGAGGCAGCAGUGGGGGAUAUUGGACAAUGGGGGAAACCCUGAUCCAGCGAUGCCGCGUGCAGGAAGAAGGUUUUCGGAUUGUAAACUGCUUUAGACAGGGAAGAAAAAAGACAGUACCUGUAGAAUAAGCUCCGGCUAACUACGUGCCAGCAGCCGCGGUAAUACGUAGGGAGCAAGCGUUAUCCGGAUUUAUUGGGUGUAAAGGGUGCGUAGACGGGAAUGCAAGUUGGUUGUGAAAUCCCUCGGCUUAACUGAGGAACUGAAACCAAAACUACAUUUCUUGAGUGCUGGAGA
RNAcentral lists this ribosomal RNA (305 nucleotides) under uncultured bacterium. RNAcentral describes it as "bacterial SSU rRNA". It matches the Rfam family "Bacterial small subunit ribosomal RNA", at positions 334 to 655 of the family's 1533-position model. The record is from RNAcentral.